UGAACGCUGGCGGCGUGCUUAACACAUGCAAGUCGAGCGAAGCAACAGUCUGUAGCAAUACAGAUAUGUGCUUAGCGGCAGACGGGUGAGUAACACGUAGAUAACCUUCCCUCCAAAGGGGGAUAGCCCACCGAAAGGUGGGGUAAUACCCCGUAUGAUCACAGGUUGGCAUCAACCAGGGAUAAAACAUCCGCAAGGAUGGAUGGAGGACGGAUCUGCGGCCUAUCAGCUAGUUGGCGGGGUAAAGGCCCACCAAGGCUACGACGGGUAUCCGACCUGAAAGGGUGACCGGACACACUGACACUGAGACACGGGUCAGACUCCUACGGGAGGCAGCAGUGAGGAAUUUUGGACAAUGGGGGAAACCCUGAUCCAGCGACGCCGCGUGGAGGACGAAGGUCUUCGGAUUGUAAACUCCUUUUGCCGGGGAACAAGAACUUUAUGGAAACAUAGAGCGUGAGUGUACCCGGAGAAUAAGCCACGGCUAACUUC
This 492-nucleotide ribosomal RNA is filed under the name uncultured bacterium. Its description in RNAcentral is "bacterial SSU rRNA". It matches the Rfam family "Bacterial small subunit ribosomal RNA", at positions 30 to 504 of the family's 1533-position model. The record is from RNAcentral.